AUCCUUUUUUAAUAGUACAGGGGUAUAUUUAGCCCUUUUCCGAAAAUAAAAUAAAAAUAAAAUAAAAUAAAGGUUACCCUUCACUGCUUUUGGCUUUGAGGUGGCGGUGGUUUUCUUCUUCGCCGGAGCAACGACCUUUGCGGCGGGGGCAAAUCCUUUUGCUUUUCUUCAAUGAAUUUUGCUAUCGCAACUUGACUUGAACCAGUUCUCUCCUUUGUGAAGAAGAAGCAGCUGGGGGCGGGGCUGUGGAGACUCUUAUAUUCUUUAUCAAUUAAGCUCUAAUCGCAACAAUGGUGUCUGCUAUUGCAAAGAAAACUGUUGCUCCUAAGAAACCCAGAUCUCAUCCUCCUUAUGCUGAGGAUCUCUUCAAUGAGAAGGUGAGGAUGAAUGGUAGAGAAGAUGGAGGCUUAUACAUAAGGUGAAGAUGAUUGUUAGAGAAGAUGGAGGCUUAUACAUACUCUCAGACAGUAUUAACACAAAAGAAGUCAAUUCUAGCUGCUACAAAUCCUAGAAAUGUUGUUUUUACUCUACUUGAUCAAAACUGCAAAUUAGAUAUAGACAUUUGGCAUAAGAGAUUUGGACAUGUAUCCAUAAAUGUUUUGAAGAAGUUACUUCCUGUUAGUUUAGAUCAUAUUACUACUACAGUGAAUAAGUGCACAAUUUGCCCAUGUGCCAAACAGACUAAACUUCCCUUUCCUAUAAGCACUACUUAUACUUCUAGCUGGUUUGACUUAGUUCAUAUGGAUUUGUGAGGACCUUAUAAAGUUGUAACUAUUGAAGGAAAUAAAUACUUUCUUACUGUU
This is a long non-coding RNA of Lycium barbarum (goji berry), 803 nucleotides long. RefSeq lists it as uncharacterized. The record is from RefSeq and is a predicted model, not a curated record. Lineage: Eukaryota; Viridiplantae; Streptophyta; Magnoliopsida; Solanales; Solanaceae. The transcript is spliced from 3 exons.